RNAcentral lists this small nuclear RNA (101 nucleotides) under Cavia porcellus (domestic guinea pig). The record is from RNAcentral. Lineage: Eukaryota; Metazoa; Chordata; Mammalia; Rodentia; Caviidae.
GUGCUCACGCCAGCAGCACCAAAAUGAGAAUGAUGCAGAGGAGGUUUGUGUGGCCCUGGGGCAAGGAGGACACCCAGAUGAAUGAAGCUGUCCAUAUUUUA